AUCCACAGCAAGCUGGUCGUUCUAAAUUUCAACAUGUUGACAGUUUUGUUAUGUUGUUUUCAAGCGCACCUCGUUGGAUUUUGGUUAAUUGCCAGGCCUUGUUUUGUUUGGCCUUUAAGACAGCGGCUAUCUGAUUGGGGAAUUUCUGCUCAGCUGCGGUAUUUGAUUGAGCCAUCCCACAGGUAGUGCAGCGGAGUUACCCCACUGCUUUUCGGGUAGUUAUGUUAAUUUGGACCGGAAAGCAGAGGGGCUAUAGGCCUGCGGAAUACGACACACAGCAUCAGCCUGACACGAUAAAAGAACUCAUCUGGAUGAAGCAGCGGCUGCCCGUGGAUGACCAUCUUGGUGAGGAUUCCUCGCAAGUGUGUAUUGUAAAGAACGUGAGGGCAGAUGUAUUUAUCUUCAAAAGGCAAAAGAAAGUGAGAAAUGCAGCAGCCAGUCACCUCCAGUUUGGCUAAUGUGUUUAUCAUUUCUUUAUGCCUUCUCCAGGUUAAUACAUCUGGACCCUGGUCUCCACUAAAGUUGGGAAGAGUGAGUGUGCGUGUGUGAGCUUUUUCCUUUUUCCAGAGGUCUGUUUUAUAGGGAGUCUUCUUCCACAAGUUACGCUGCGGAGACCCACUUCGCCAGUCAAGGCUGCCCCAAUUGGACCCCUGGACAGAUGAUGUUUGGCAUGCAGAGGGGCUAUGGGCCUGCGGAAUCCGGCACACAGCAUCAGCCUGCCACGAUGCAAGAAGUUCACCUGGGUGAAGCUGCAGCUGCUUCUGGAUGACAGCCUUGUUG
Pseudophryne corroboree (corroboree frog) is the source of this 780-nucleotide long non-coding RNA. RefSeq lists it as uncharacterized. The transcript has 5 exons. The record is from RefSeq and is a predicted model, not a curated record. NCBI's taxonomy places the organism in Eukaryota, Metazoa, Chordata, Amphibia, Anura, Myobatrachidae.